RNAcentral lists this ribosomal RNA (253 nucleotides) under uncultured bacterium. RNAcentral describes it as "partial 16S ribosomal RNA". It matches the Rfam family "Bacterial small subunit ribosomal RNA", at positions 524 to 776 of the family's 1533-position model. The record is from RNAcentral.
UACGUAGGGUGCAAGCGUUGUCCGGAAUUAUUGGGCGUAAAGAGCUCGUAGGCGGUCUGUCGCGUCGGAUGUGAAAAUCCAGGGCUUAACCCUGGACCUGCAUUCGAUACUGCCGAGCUAGAGUAUCGGAGAGGUUGGUGGAAUUCUCGGUGUAGAGGUGAAAUUCGUAGAUAUCGAGAGGAACACCGGUGGCGAAGGCGGCCAACUGGACGAAUACUGACGCUGAGACUCGAAAGCGUGGGGAGCAAACAGG